CCCUUAGAUGUUCUGGGCUGCACGCGCGCUACACUGAUGCGCUCAACGAGUUUUAACCUUGCCUGGAAAGGUUGGGUAAUCUUUUUAAAACGCAUCGUGAUGGGGAUAGAUUAUUGCAAUUAUUAAUCUUCAACGAGGAAUUCCUAGUAAGCGCGAGUCAUCAGCUCGUGCCGAUUACGUCCCUGCCCUUUGUACACACCGCCCGUCGCUCCUACCGAUUGGGUGUGCUGGUGAAAUGUUCGGAUCGGCCGUUUGUCGCGGUUUCCGCGUCAUGUGGCUGAGAAGUUCAUUAAACCCUCCCACCUAGAGGAAGGAGAAGUCGUAACA
This 327-nucleotide ribosomal RNA is filed under the name uncultured eukaryote. RNAcentral describes it as "partial 18S ribosomal RNA". It matches the Rfam family "Eukaryotic small subunit ribosomal RNA", at positions 1470 to 1796 of the family's 1831-position model. The record is from RNAcentral.